Molecule: long non-coding RNA, 288 nt
Filed under: Setaria viridis
Lineage: Eukaryota; Viridiplantae; Streptophyta; Magnoliopsida; Poales; Poaceae
Description: long non-coding RNA (SVIR_LNC002430)
Source: RNAcentral
GAUGUUUCUGUAGGAUGGUUCUGUAGGAAGAUGGCUUGAAAUGCAUAACACUCUAAAUUGUUGAUUGGACUGCGGUUUGUGUAGAGAGUCAUGGACAGUAUGAUGUACACAUUCUUAUGUGUCAUGUGAUUUAAUUGAAUUGCAGCCAUGAAUGCAUAUGACUCAAUUUUGUUGCUUCAAUUGGUUUUGUUUCAGUACUAUGCUUGAUUGUCCUGAUUGUAGAUAUUCUAUGAUGUUUACAUUUUCAAAUGUGUUGUCCUCAUUGUCCAAAAUCUUGGCAUUUUGUAC